UACGGGGGGGGCUAGCGUUGUUCGGAAUUACUGGGCGUAAAGGGCGCGUAGGCGGUCUACUAAGUUGGAUGUGAAAACUCUGGGCUUAACCCAGAGCCUGCAUUCAAAACUGAUAGGCUAGAGUUCUGGAGGGGAUAGCGGAAUUCCUGGUGUAGCGGUGAAAUGCGUAGAUAUCAGGAGGAACACCGGUGGCGAAGGCGCCUAUCUGGCCCGAUACUGACGCUGAGGCGCGAAAGCUAGGGGAGCAAACGGG
RNAcentral lists this ribosomal RNA (253 nucleotides) under uncultured bacterium. Its description in RNAcentral is "partial 16S ribosomal RNA". It matches the Rfam family "Bacterial small subunit ribosomal RNA", at positions 524 to 776 of the family's 1533-position model. The record is from RNAcentral.